GAUCCUGGCUCAGGAUGAACGCUAGCUACAGGCUUAACACAUGCAAGUCGAGGGGCAGCAUUUUUCUAGCAAUAGAAGAGAUGGCGACCGGCGCACGGGUGAGUAACACGUAUCCAACCUACCGAUAACUCCGGAAUAGCCUUUCGAAAGAAAGAUUAAUAACGGAUAGUAUACGAAUAUCGCAUGAUAUUUUUAUUAAAGAAUUUCGGUUAUCGAUGGGGAUGCGUUCCAUUAGUUUGUUGGCGGGGUAACGG
RNAcentral lists this ribosomal RNA (254 nucleotides) under uncultured bacterium. RNAcentral's name for it is "partial 16S ribosomal RNA". It matches the Rfam family "Bacterial small subunit ribosomal RNA", at positions 15 to 263 of the family's 1533-position model. The record is from RNAcentral.